Molecule: ribosomal RNA, 556 nt
Filed under: uncultured Pacispora
Lineage: Eukaryota; Fungi; Glomeromycota; Glomeromycetes; Diversisporales; Pacisporaceae
Description: SSU rRNA
Rfam family: Eukaryotic small subunit ribosomal RNA
Source: RNAcentral
UUGGAGGGCAAGUCUGGUGCCAGCAGCCGCGGUAAUUCCAGCUCCAAUAGCGUAUAUUAAAGUUGUUGCAGUUAAAAAGCUCGUAGUUGAAUUUCGGAAUUCUUUUAUCGGUUGAAUCAACAGGUUCGUACUGAUUUUAAGAAUUUCUACCUUCUGGAGAACCUUAAUGUCAUUUAUUUGAUGUUUUGGGAAACCAGGACUGUUACCUUGAAAAAAUUAGAGUGUUUAAAGCAGGCUUAUGUCUGAAUAUAUUAGCAUGGAAUAAUGAAAUAGGACGGCAUGGUUCUAUUUUGUUGGUUUCUAGGAUCACCGUAAUGAUUAAUAGGGAUAGUUGGGGGCAUUAGUAUUCAAUUGUCAGAGGUGAAAUUCUUGGAUUUAUUGAAGACUAACUUCUGCGAAAGCAUUUGCCAAGGAUGUUUUCAUUAAUCAAGAACGAAAGUUAGGGGAUCGAAGACGAUCAGAUACCGUCGUAGUCUUAACCAUAAACUAUGCCGACUAGGAAUCGGACGAAGUUAAUUUUUUAAUGACUCGUUCGGCACCUUACGGGAAACCAAAG